GGGAUAGCGUCUGGAAACGGACGGUAAUACCGCAUAAUGUAUUUUGAUGACAUCAUUAAAAUACCAAAGCUUUUGCGCCGAAGGAUGGCCUCGCGUCUGAUUAGAUAGUUGGUGGGGUAACGGCCUACCAAGUCGACGAUCAGUAGCCGGACUGAGAGGUUGAACGGCCACAUUGGGACUGAGACACGGCCCAGACUCCUACGGGAGGCAGCAGUGGGGAAUAUUGCACAAUGGGCGCAAGCCUGAUGCAGCAACGCCGCGUGAAGGAAGACGGUUUUCGGAUUGUAAACUUCUGUUCUUAGCGAAGAACAAUGACGGUAGCUAAGGAGCAAGCCACGGCUAACUACGUGCCAGCAGCCGCGGUAAUACGUAGGUGGCAAGCGUUGUCCGGAAUUACUGGGUGUAAAGGGAGCGCAGGCGGGAAAGCAAGUCAGCUGUGAAAUCCAUGGGCUUAACCCAUGAACUGCAGUUGAAACUGUUUUUCUUGAGUGAAGUAGAGGUUGGCGGAAUUCCGAGUGUAGCGGUGAAAUGCGUAGAUAUUCGGAGGAACACCGGUGGCGAAGGCGGCCAACUGGGCUUUAACUGACGCUGAGGCUCGAAAGUGUGGGGAGCAAACAGGAUUAGAUACCCUGGUAGUCCACACUGUAA
This 648-nucleotide ribosomal RNA is filed under the name uncultured bacterium. Its description in RNAcentral is "bacterial SSU rRNA". It matches the Rfam family "Bacterial small subunit ribosomal RNA", at positions 140 to 805 of the family's 1533-position model. The record is from RNAcentral.